AACCCUUUAUUUAUACUGGGUAAUUCUAUAUCUCUAUAGAACUUACUAUGUUAAAACUAGUAACAAGAAGCUUAUCCUUCUCUUAAAUGCAAGUAUAUGUCAGGAAGGAUGAACCACUGAUUAUUAACAUAUUUGAUUAAAUCUAAUAGUAACACUUCAAGAAAAACCUAUUAACUUUUAUGUUAACCUAACACUAGAGCAUUUCAAGAAAGAUUAAAAGAAAAAGAAGGAACUCGGCAAAUAUCAACCUCGCCUGUUUACCAAAAACAUCGCCUCUUGAAUAAGAGGUCCAGCCUGCCCAGUGACUCAGUUUAACGGCCGCGGUAUCCUAACCGUGCAAAGGUAGCGUAAUCACUUGUUCUUUAAAUAAGGACUAGUAUGAAUGGCAUCACGAAGGUUGCACUGUCUCCUUUUUCUAAUCAGUGAAACUAAUCUUCCCGUGAAGAAGCGGGAAUAAACAUAUAAGACGAGAAGACCCUAUGGAGCUUUAAACUGAUUAUAAGUUUUCGGUUGGGGUGACCUCGGAGUAAAAAACAACCUCCGAGUAGUACGGGCUCCCUGAGCAAAAAGACUCGACUUUACGCACCAAAAAAUUGACUUCUAUUGACCCAAUAUUUUGAUUAACGAACUAAGUUACCCUAGGGAUAACAGCGCAAUCCACUUCAAGAGCUCCUAUCGACAAGUGGGUUUACGACCUCGAUGUUGGAUCAGGGUAUCCUAGUGGUGCAGCCGCUACUAAUGGUUCGUUUGUUCAACGAUUAAA
RNAcentral lists this ribosomal RNA (763 nucleotides) under Hyloscirtus sp. DHMECN_14549. RNAcentral's name for it is "partial large subunit ribosomal RNA". It matches the Rfam family "Bacterial large subunit ribosomal RNA", at positions 1435 to 2592 of the family's 2925-position model. The record is from RNAcentral. Lineage: Eukaryota; Metazoa; Chordata; Amphibia; Anura; Hylidae.